UAUUGGGCAAUGGAGGAAACUCUGACCCAGCGACGCCGCGUGCGGGAUGAAGGCCUUCGGGUUGUAAACCGCUUUCAGUAGGGAAGAAGCGAAAGUGACGGUACCUACAAAAGAAGCACCGGCUAACUAUGUGCCAGCAGCCGCGGUAAUACAUAGGGUGCAAGCGUUGUCCGGAAUUAUUGGGCGUAAAGAGCUCGUAGGUCGUUUGUUACGUCGGAUGUGAAAACCUGAGGCUCAACCUCAGGCCUGCAUUCGAUACGGGCAAACUAGAGUUUGGUAGGGGAGACUGGAAUUCCUGGUGUAGCGGUGGAAUGCGCAGAUAUCAGGAGGAACACCAAGGCGAAGGCGGGUUCGGGCCAAUACUACACGAGAGGAAA
This 377-nucleotide ribosomal RNA is filed under the name uncultured bacterium. RNAcentral describes it as "bacterial SSU rRNA". It matches the Rfam family "Bacterial small subunit ribosomal RNA", at positions 362 to 758 of the family's 1533-position model. The record is from RNAcentral.